AUAUCUAUGGCGUGAUGAACAAAAAACGUCCGACCAAACGACCAAUGAGAUUUCACGUUGAAUUGAAAAUUUCACUAUAUAAACUUUUGAAAAUAUGCACCCAAGACACAUUUACACGUUUGUUGUGCAUUAACUCACACUUCAAGUUUUUCUUUUGCGUUUUUAAUCAAACCAACUUCAAUCUUCGAAAUGGGUAAAGAAAGAGCAUGCAUGGAAUUCUCCACCGUCCAAGGCAAAGAAAGAAUCUCAUUCGAUAACAUCGUCGUCGUCGAGCAAGGCAAAGAACAGACCGCCAUGGAAAACAUCGUCGUCGUAGACCAAGGCAAAGAAAAAUCAUCGAUGGAUUUCGUUAUCGUUUAAAUAUCCCGAAUUGCCUUUAUUUUUAAGUUAAUUUUAGGGUUUCGUUUCUAACUCACAAUAGUCAUCAAAAAAGAAAUGCAUUUGUUGGGUUUUCAAUCAACGAUCGAUUGCGUGUAUUAGAUUUAAG
Molecule: long non-coding RNA, 487 nt
Organism: Planococcus citri (citrus mealybug)
Lineage: Eukaryota; Metazoa; Arthropoda; Insecta; Hemiptera; Pseudococcidae
Exons: 3
Source: RefSeq, a predicted model, not a curated record